Molecule: ribosomal RNA, 991 nt
Filed under: human gut metagenome
Description: bacterial LSU rRNA
Rfam family: Bacterial large subunit ribosomal RNA
Source: RNAcentral
GGCCGUAACUAUAACGGUCCUAAGGUAGCGAAAUUCCUUGUCGGGUAAGUUCCGACCCGCACGAAAGGCGUAACGAUUUGGGCACUGUCUCAACAAUAGACUCGGUGAAAUUGUAAUCCCGGUGAAGAUGCCGGGUACCUGCGACAGGACGGAAAGACCCCAUGGAGCUUUACUGUAGCUUGACGUUGGGUCUUGGUACUACAUGUACAGGAUAGGUGGGAGACUAUGAAGCAUGGACGCCAGUCUGUGUGGAGUCAUCCUUGGGAUACCACCCUUGUAGUACUGGGAUCCUAACCAUAGGCCUUGAAUCAGGUCUUGGAACACCGUCAGGUGGGCAGUUUGACUGGGGCGGUCGCCUCCUAAAAAGUAACGGAGGCGCUCAAAGGUUUCCUCAGCACGGUCGGAAAUCGUGCGAAGAGUGUAAAGGCAAAAGGAAGCUUGAUUGCAAGACAUACAGGUCGAGCAAGGACGAAAGUCGGACUUAGUGAUCCGGUGGUACCGCAUGGAAGGGCCAUCGCUCAACGGAUAAAAGCUACCCUGGGGAUAACAGGCUUAUCUCCCCCAAGAGUCCACAUCGACGGGGAGGUUUGGCACCUCGAUGUCGGCUCAUCACAUCCUGGGGCUGUAGUAGGUCCCAAGGGUUGGGCUGUUCGCCCAUUAAAGUGGUACGCGAGCUGGGUUCAGAACGUCGUGAGACAGUUCGGUCCCUAUCCGUCGCAGGCGUAGGAAAUUUGAGAAGACCUGUCCUUAGUACGAGAGGACCGGGAUGGACGUACCUCUGGUGUACCAGUUGUUCUGCCAAGGGCAUGGCUGGGUAGCUAUGUACGGAAUGGAUAAGCGCUGAAAGCAUCUAAGCGCGAAGCCAACUUCAAGAUAAGAUUUCCCACCGUAAGGGUAAGACCCCAGGAAGACUACCUGGUUGAUAGGUCGAAGGUGUAAGUGCAGUAAUGUAUUUAGCUUAUCGAUACUAAUAGGUCGAGGACUUGACCAA